RNAcentral lists this ribosomal RNA (293 nucleotides) under uncultured eukaryote. RNAcentral's name for it is "partial 18S ribosomal RNA". It matches the Rfam family "Eukaryotic small subunit ribosomal RNA", at positions 1470 to 1796 of the family's 1831-position model. The record is from RNAcentral.
CCCUUUGAUACUCUGGGCGGCACGCGCGCUACACUGGUUUAUAUAACGUGUAAUUUGGACGAUAGUCUGUAUAAAUCACUAAUAUAAAACCGUGAAUGGGAUAGUUUAUUGCAACUUACAAACUUUAACUAGGAAUCCCUUGUAGAAGUAGUGAAUUAUACUGCUUCGAAUACGUCCCUGCCGAUUGUACACACCGCCCGUCGUUUCUUCCGACUGGUACUCAUUGUGAAUUGCGAGGAGAUUCUGUCAAAUCGUUGUAAAUGCUGGGUAUUGGAGGAAGAAAAAGUCGUACA